This 632-nucleotide long non-coding RNA is filed under the name Marmota monax (woodchuck). The record is from RNAcentral. Lineage: Eukaryota; Metazoa; Chordata; Mammalia; Rodentia; Sciuridae.
CAAAUCAGAAACAGUGGGAAGAGUACAGAGGAAAAAGCAGCUGGUGAUAGUCUAGGAUCAUCAGCUAUGCAUGGGUCAGGGAGAAAAGGAAGCUAUGGGAACAAGAGAGUGGGCCAUCUCCACAACCAAGGAGAAGAGAAUGACCAGAAAAAGGGAACUCCUGCAGAGACAUCAGGCUACUGAGAAAGACCUACAGAUUUACACAAGAGCCUUUUAGAACUUGACUUGAGAAGUUUCAGGAAAAUAUGAGGAUGAGAGCUAAGGGAGUCCUACCAUGUCCCAGCAUGCAAAACAGUGCCUGAGGUAGGUGGUUAUUUCAUAGAUAUUUUGGAUGUAUGGAUAAAUGAAUGGAUAGAUGGAUGGAUGGAUGGAUGAUGGAUGGAUGGAUAAAUGGAAGUAUUAAUGGAUACAAAGAGUCCUCUAAGAGAUCAGGGAAGGUUUCAUGAAUGUGGUGGGACUGCGCUGUCUCCAUGGGUAGAAAUGCAAGUAGAAGAAUCUCCAUGUGAAGGUUCCUUAAGUCAGGCAUGACCCAGUGUCUGUGGAUCCAGGGAAGAAACUGUCAGGGCUGGACAAUUGGGAAUUUAUCCAAAGGAGAUUCAGAAGUUCUAAAAUGAGGCCAGGAGAGGUUGAGC